Molecule: ribosomal RNA, 118 nt
Filed under: Salvator merianae (Argentine black and white tegu)
Lineage: Eukaryota; Metazoa; Chordata; Lepidosauria; Squamata; Teiidae
Source: RNAcentral
UAGCCUGAAUAAGUGGCAAGCCCUACCUGAUCUUAGGUGAUCUUGAGAAGCUAAGCAGGGUCAUGCUUGGUUAGUACAUGGAUGGGACACCACUAGGAAACCCUAGUCUGCAGGGUAU